Molecule: long non-coding RNA, 731 nt
Filed under: Eucalyptus grandis
Lineage: Eukaryota; Viridiplantae; Streptophyta; Magnoliopsida; Myrtales; Myrtaceae
Description: long non-coding RNA (EGRA_LNC001276)
Source: RNAcentral
CCUCCCUCACCCCUCUUCUCUUCUUUUUCAGCAUAACGUGAGAAGAGAGAGAGAGAGAGAGAGAGAGAGAGCACGCCCAAACAUGACGGAACCUCACCAUUGCCGGAACAUCAACAGCGGGAUCCCUUCACAUCACACCAGAGCAUCAGAGGGGCGCACGAAAUUUCAGAGAAAGUUUAAUCAAGACCGAAAACUGAAGCGCUAGAACAUGAGCCCCAAGGUUCACAGUGAAUGAACAAUAUACGCCCCAUCGCCAGACCGACUGACCAUCAAUUUUCGCCUCCAACGUCAGCCGAUUAACACCCAUACGCCCAUACCAAAUCAACGGCCAACAUCCCACGUCCCAGUCGGCCUCCACCUCGACUCGCCGCUGGAAAAGCAAAUCUACUCCCGACGGCUAUCGUUGCUCCGGCCAGUCAUCGCAUUCGAUGGAGAAGACAUGAUUCGCACGAAGAAAAGACACAUCAAGCAACGAAUCAAAAGAAGAAACUAUAAGCCGCGUCUAAGGACCAACAAACGCCCGGAAUCAAGCCCAAAUCAGAGGAGGCAUGAGCGAAAUCUGGUUCGAGCAUUUCUUCAAACACAUGGCGAGCAGCGAGUUGGGCAGCAAAUAUUGACCUGUUGGGAGCUCGAGCGCACGCCCAAACUCAAAAGUAAUCAACGAGCAACGUUCGGAAUCAACAAAAUAACAACUCAUUCAGGUCCAGCACGAGCAAGAACUAAGGAAAUCG